CUUCCAUACUGCAUUACAUUUUCCAUCGUGUUGCUAACAGGUCCAAGUGAUACUCAAGGGCAGUGGAUGAAACAAUGGAUGAUCAGCUUGGAGGGCAGAAUAAUCUGUGAGGGUGUGCAACCAACCUUUCUGUCUGGACUUGCUGCUUUGUUUUCACUGUAUUACAUCUUUAACCUGCAAUAUCAAGAGGAAGCAGCAUCCACAUUGGAAUUCCUUCAAAGACGAUUUGUUGGAAUAAAUCCGGAAAAAGGGACCAAGGCUGCAAAAGGAAAGUGACAUCUAAAAAGACUGGGAAAACUGUUUAAAAGAAGACCAUGACAGUCAAUCUGAAAGUGUCAAAUCUUUUAAAAAGAUUGAUGGACUUUGAGUGGCACUUUAUUUAAAAUGUUUUUUGUUUUACAGUGGUUUGUAUAUACUGUUAUUUUUUUUUUUUUUGUAUUCUACUUUUUAUAUCCAGAAAGGGCUUGUGUUUGAUAAAGCCUUGUGUUGAUUUAUUUAUUUUCAUUAUUUUUUUUUCGGAAGCUUGAUUUGAAGCUUGUUUAUUAUUUAAUGUCAAGUUGAGGCAUUUUGAAAUUGUGUUUGUUUUCUUAAGCCAUCUUUGUAUUUCUCCAUGUUAUGGGCGCUUAUUUG
This is a long non-coding RNA of Clarias gariepinus (North African catfish), 630 nucleotides long. RefSeq lists it as uncharacterized. The transcript has 3 exons. Lineage: Eukaryota; Metazoa; Chordata; Actinopteri; Siluriformes; Clariidae. The record is from RefSeq and is a predicted model, not a curated record.